GAUGAACGCUGGCGGCGUGCCUAAUACAUGCAAGUCGAGCGAACGGACGAGAAGCUUGCUUCUCUGAUGUUAGCGGCGGACGGGUGAGUAACACGUGGAUAACCUACCUAUAAGACUGGGAUAACUUCGGGGAACCGGAGCUAAUACCGGAUAAUAUUUUGAACCGCAUGGUUCAAAAGUGAAAGACGGUCUUGCUGUCACUUAUAGAUGGAUCCGCGCUGCAUUAGCUAGUUGGUAAGGUAACGGCUUACCAAGGCAACGAUGCAUAGCCGACCUGAGAGGGUGAUCGGCCACACUGGAACUGAGACACGGUCCAGACUCCUACGGGAGGCAGCAGUAGGGAAUCUUCCGCAAUGGGCGAAAGCCUGACGGAGCAACGCCGCGUGAGUGAUGAAGGUCUUCGGAUCGUAAAACUCUGUUAUUAGGGAAGAACAUAUGUGUAAGUAACUGUGCACAUCUUGACGGUACCUAAUCAGAAAGCCACGGCUAACUACGUGCCAUCAGCCGCGGUAAUACGUAGGUGGCAAGCGUUAUCCGGAAUUAUUGGGCGUAAAGCGCGCGUAGGCGGUUUUUUAAGUCUGAUGUGAAAGCCCACGGCUCAACCGGUGGAGGGUCAUUGGAAACUGGAAAACUUGAGUGCAGAAGAGGAAAGUGGAAUUCCAUGUGUAGCGGUGAAAUGCGCAGAGAUAUGGAGGAACACCAGUGGCGAAGGCGACUUUCUGGUCUGUAACUGACGCUGAUGUGCGAAAGCGUGGGGAUCAAACAGGAUUAGAUACCCUGGUAGUCCACGCCGUAAACGAUGAGUGCUAAGUGUUAGGGGGUUUCCGCCCCUUAGUGCUGCAGCUAACGCAUUAAGCACUCCGCCUGGGGAGUACGACCGCAAGGUUGAAACUCAAAGGAAUUGACGGGGACCCGCACAAGCGGUGGAGCAUGUGGUUUAAUUCGAAGCAACGCGAAGAACCUUACCAAAUCUUGACAUCCUUUGACAACUCUAGAGAUAGAGCCUUCCCCUUCGGGGGACAAAGUGACAGGUGGUGCAUGGUUGUCGUCAGCUCGUGUCGUGAGAUGUUGGGUUAAGUCCCGCAACGAGCGCAACCCUUAAGCUUAGUUGCCAUCAUUAAGUUGGGCACUCUAAGUUGACUGCCGGUGACAAACCGGAGGAAGGUGGGGAUGACGUCAAAUCAUCAUGCCCCUUAUGAUUUGGGCUACACACGUGCUACAAUGGACAAUACAAAGGGCAGCGAAACCGCGAGGUCAAGCAAAUCCCAUAAAGUUGUUCUCAGUUCGGAUUGUAGUCUGCAACUCGACUACAUGAAGCUGGAAUCGCUAGUAAUCGUAGAUCAGCAUGCUACGGUGAAUACGUUCCCGGGUCU
Molecule: ribosomal RNA, 1373 nt
Filed under: uncultured bacterium
Lineage: Bacteria
Description: bacterial SSU rRNA
Rfam family: Bacterial small subunit ribosomal RNA
Source: RNAcentral